Molecule: ribosomal RNA, 1215 nt
Filed under: Pseudogymnoascus sp.
Lineage: Eukaryota; Fungi; Ascomycota; Leotiomycetes; Thelebolales; Thelebolaceae
Description: partial large subunit ribosomal RNA
Source: RNAcentral
UUACCUCAGUAACGGCGAGUGAAGCGGUAACAGCUCAAAUUUGAAAUCUGGCCUCACGGUCCGAGUUGUAAUUUGUAGAGGAUGCUUCGAGCAUGGUCUGGCCUAAGUUCCUUGGAACAGGACGUCAUAGAGGGUGAGAAUCCCGUAUGCGGCCAGGUGCCUACGCUCAUGUGAAGCUCCUUCGACGAGUCGAGUUGUUUGGGAAUGCAGCUCAAAAUGGGUGGUAAAUUUCAUCUAAAGCUAAAUAUUGGCCAGAGACCGAUAGCGCACAAGUAGAGUGAUCGAAAGAUGAAAAGCACUUUGGAAAGAGAGUUAAACAGUACGUGAAAUUGUUGAAAGGGAAGCGCUUGCAACCAGACUUGCGCGCGGCCGAUCAUCCGGUGUUCUCACCGGUGCACUCGGCCGUGCUCAGGCCAGCAUCGGUUUUGGCGGCUGGAUAAAGGCCCUAGGAAUGUAGCUCCUCUCGGGGAGUGUUAUAGCCUAGGGUGCAAUGCAGCCUGCUGGGACCGAGGACCGCGCUUCGGCUAGGAUGCUGGCGUAAUGGUUGUAAGCGGCCCGUCUUGAAACACGGACCAAGGAGUCUAACAUCUAUGCGAGUGUUUGGGUGUCAAACCCAUACGCGUAAUGAAAGUGAACGGAGGUGAGAACCCUUAAGGGUGCAUCAUCGACCGGUCCUGAAGUUUACGGAAGGAUCUGAGUAAGAGCAUAGCUGUUGGGACCCGAAAGAUGGUGAACUAUGCCUGAAUAGGGUGAAGCCAGAGGAAACUCUGGUGGAGGCUCGCAGCGGUUCUGACGUGCAAAUCGAUCGUCAAAUUUGGGUAUAGGGGCGAAAGACUAAUCGAACCAUUGACCUGUAGGAACACUACUAGGUGGUUWAGAGGCGGCUAAAAGUGCCGUCUAGUCCCGACGCCGGGGCGACACUGUCAAAUUGCGGGAACAUCCUUAGAGCCUAGACUACCGCAGCCUUCCUGAAAGGGGGGUGCGCACCAGGGUAAUGACCUCGGGUAUGGUAAUAACGUCUAGGAUUGGACAAUCCGCAGCCAAGCCCUACGGACCUCGGUCUAUGGGUGCAGUUCAUCGACUAGAUGGCAGUGGGUGGCAGCAAUGCCGCUUAAGAUAUAGUCAGACCCCCGGGAGACCGGGCGGCAGAACGAAGACCGUGGGGGGCGUCCUCUCUGAGAGCCCCGCGGUCCCGAGUCUGCUGGUGGCGUCGCA